AUUAGAUUUUGACAACCAGUUGUCUUUUUUUUCUGAUUAUGAUUAUUUCAAAUAUUUGGUAGAACCAAAUACUGAAAUAUGCACCGAUCAUAUGGGAUGGGGAGGUAUAACGCAAAAGAGAUUCCUUAAAGGGAUAACUUAUUUCACCCAAAAUGAGAUUUGUGGUCAUUUAACGUUAACUUACCCACUCUGAUGUUGUUUCAAACCUCUAUGACCUUCUGUCGUGCAAUAAAAAAAAUAUAUUUGAACAGCCUCGGUUAACACUGCAUGAUGCAUAUGGUCCACAGAAAGUAAACCGAGGUGAAUAAUGCUAGAUUUUUGUGAACUAUACUUUUAACGCUCAAUACUAUAAUAAAAGCGAUCUAUGGUAUAAUAAACAGCAUCUAACGUUACGUUACGUGUUUAAGUAAACCACGCGGGAUGCCGCUCUUCUGGAUAAGUUUAUUGCAACUAAUGUUAAGUUAAAUGGGUUGCAUGUUACUGGUGUAAGGCCUGUUUUGUUGAAAAAAGCCAUCUCUGAAAGAAAUAAUGCGAUAAGUUAGAUAACGUGAUUAAACAUUUUUCCUUUUCAUAGUGACGGUUAUCCCCUGAGGUUUGUUUUCACGUAGACCCUGAAAACAGCACCUUUUCCCGCUGCAGAUUCAGAUUGAUGUAGGUCACGAGGUUGUUGAUUUAAAAUAAUAUGUGUUAUAAUUUAUAAAUAUACACAAAUGUACUGUAUCCCUUUAGUCAUAUGAAGAGUUACACUUUACAACCAAAAACACGAACGCAAUUUAGUGAGAUAUGCCUACAGUAUGUCAUGAACGUUUCAGUUUUCUUAAACAAAUAGAAACAUCAUUAUAAAAUAUUAUUAAGCCACAAUGAAGUACCACUAUUUGAAAACAGGUCAAACCAUCCCUUGAUCUAAAUGCUAUAGCAACAGUAAAACGAGAACAAAUCUCACAGCAUGUCUUAGCAAGUAACUCUGGAAAUACAUUACUCCUAUUGAGCUCAGGAGAAAAGAAUCAGUGCUGAUAACAGUAAACUAUAUGCAAACAUGAUAAAAAUGACAGAAAAAGAGCUCCCCAGCAUUGUAAACAAUCAGAUUAAGAACCAAAGUGCAACUGAUGGACUAAAAUAAAUAAGAAAAACUACACAUAGCGUCAGUGUUGGAGGCAUCAUUGAUCUUUGUCGCCCCCUUGUGCUAAUCAACCGCAUGACACCCGUCCAUUUUGAGUUUCUCGAGUUUGUUCGCUCAUGAUCACCCACAAAAGCAGCCUUUUAUACGUUUCGUCAAAUUAAUUAGUUAUCUGUAGUGCUGGACCCUCCGUUGGCUGUGCUGGAUUUGCCUUUUGUCUUGGACGAGCGGAACGAAAAGCGUUUGAUUAGGCGACGGGAGAAGCUUCCAGACUUUUUACGGCUGGUGGAGGAGCAGGAGGCUGUGGAGGAGUCAUUGUCCAGGUUUGAGACGUCCUCAUGGGACUGACUGAAACUGGGGUCUUUCUCUUUGUGUUUCCUGCGGAAUAGUAGCUUGGUGCCACUGCGGAGGAAUCCCACUAGAACAGAACAUUCAUGCACUUAAAUGAAACCAUAAAAAUACAUUUUAUGAUGAAUACAUCAAAAAUACAUUCCAAAGAAGUUCA
Long non-coding RNA from Carassius carassius (crucian carp), 1622 nucleotides. RefSeq lists it as uncharacterized. The record is from RefSeq and is a predicted model, not a curated record. Lineage: Eukaryota; Metazoa; Chordata; Actinopteri; Cypriniformes; Cyprinidae. The transcript is spliced from 2 exons.